RNAcentral lists this ribosomal RNA (432 nucleotides) under uncultured Pelotomaculum sp. RNAcentral's name for it is "bacterial SSU rRNA". It matches the Rfam family "Bacterial small subunit ribosomal RNA", at positions 950 to 1382 of the family's 1533-position model. The record is from RNAcentral. Lineage: Bacteria; Bacillati; Bacillota; Clostridia; Eubacteriales; Desulfotomaculaceae.
UUCGAUGCAACGCGAAGAACCUUACCUGGGCUUGACAUCCCGGGAAUCCCCUGGAAACAGGGGAGUGCCCUUCGGGAACCCGGUGACAGGUGGUGCAUGGUUGUCGUCAGCUCGUGUCGUGAGAUGUUGGGUUAAGUCCCGCAACGAGCGCAACCCCUACGUUUAGUUGCUAACGCGUGAAGGCGAGCACUCUAGACGAACUGCCGUUGACAAAACGGAGGAAGUGGGAUGACGUCAAAUCAUCAUACCCCUUAUGUUCUGGGCUACACACGUGCUACAAUGGCCGGUACAGACGGACGCAAAGCCGCGAGGUGGAGCAAAUCCUAAAAAGCCGGUCUCAGUUCGGAUUGCAGGCUGCAAUUCGCCUGCAUGAAGUCGGAAUCGCUAGUAAUCGCAGGUCAGCAUACUGCGGUGAAUACGUUCCCGGGCCUU